CCCUUAGAUGUUCUGGGCCGCACGCGCGCUACACUGAUGCAUUCAACGAGCCUAGCCUUGACCGAGAGGUCCGGGUAAUCUUUGAAACUGCAUCGUGAUGGGGCUAGAUUAUUGCAAUUAUUAAUCUUCAACGAGGAAUGCCUAGUAAGCGUGAUUCAUCAAAUCGCGUUGAUUACGUCCCUGCCCUUUGUACACACCGCCCGUCGCUCCUACCGAUUGAGUGUGUUGGUGAGGAGCUCGGAUUGGCAGCAGGUGGUGGUUCGCCACCGCCUAUUGCUGAGAAGUCCUCCAAACCGCCCCACUUAGAGGAAGGAGAAGUCGUAACA
This 326-nucleotide ribosomal RNA is filed under the name uncultured eukaryote. RNAcentral describes it as "partial 18S ribosomal RNA". It matches the Rfam family "Eukaryotic small subunit ribosomal RNA", at positions 1470 to 1796 of the family's 1831-position model. The record is from RNAcentral.